GUUAAAGUUGUUGCAGUUAAAAAGCUCGUAGUUGGACUUGUGUGCGCCGGAUGCGGCGAUCUGCGGCCAAAAGGUCGUUGCGAUCUGCCCGUCCUGGCGCCGUAAAAUUUGCAACUGGGUCGCCGCUGGCCUUAAUUGAUCGGUGGCGUCUGCUCGGUUGCUCGUUUACUGUGAGAAAAUUGGAGUGUUCAAGGCAGGCGUGGAUUGCAACUGAACAUGUUAGCAUGGAAUAAUAAGAUAGGGCUCCGGCUCAUAUUUUGUUGGUUUCUAGAGCGUGGGAGUAAUGAUUGAUAGGGACAGUUGGGGGUGCUAGUAUUCAGCGGCCAGAGGUGAAAUUCAUGGAUUCGCUGAAGACUGACUUAUGCGAAAGCAUUCACCAAGGAUGUCCUCUUUAAUCAAGAACGAAAGUUGGGGGAUCGAAGACGAUCAGAUACCGUCGUAGUCUCAACCAUAAACGAUGUCGACUAGGGAUUGGCGGUCGUUUUUCAUAUAAGACUCCGUCAGCACCUUCCGAGAAAUCAAAGUGUUUGGACUCUUGGGGAAGUAUGGUCGCAAGGCUGAAACUUAAAGGAGUUGACGGAAGGGCACCACCAGGAGUGGAGCCUGCGGCUUAAUUUGACCCAACACGGGGAAACUUACCAGGUCCAGAGAUGUAGAGGAUUGACAGAUUGAAGCUCUUUCUUGAUCACUUCGGUGGUGGUGCAUGGCCGUUCUUAGUUGGUGGAGUGAUUUGUCUGGUUAAUUCCGUUAACGAACGAGACCUCAGCCUGCUUUUGUAGUCGGCCGUAUACCCUAGUGGUGUACGCGUUCCAACUUCUUAGAGGGACUAUCGAUGUGCAGUCGAUGGAAGUUUGAGGCAAUAACAGGUCUGUGAUGCCCUUAGAUGUUCUGGGCCGCACGCGCGCUACAAUGCUAGGUUCAACGAGUUGAUUUCGUACUUGGCCGAGAGGCCUGGUUAAUCUUCUGAAAUCCUAGCGUGCUUGGGCUUGCCUCUUGCAACUAGAGGCACCAACGAGGAAUUCCUAGUAGACGCAGGUCAUCAACCUGCAUCGAUUACGUCCCUGCCCUUUGUACACACCGCCCGUCGCUUCUACCGAUUGGUCGUCCCGGUGAACAAUCGGGAGGCCGUGCUCAUGGUCAGCAAUGGCCGGAGCGCGGUCGAACUUUUGUAAAUUUGGACGACUAGAGGAAGAAGAAGUCGU
RNAcentral lists this ribosomal RNA (1202 nucleotides) under metagenome. RNAcentral's name for it is "SSU rRNA". It matches the Rfam family "Eukaryotic small subunit ribosomal RNA", at positions 603 to 1792 of the family's 1831-position model. The record is from RNAcentral.